AUUGAACGCUGGCGGCAGGCCUAACACAUGCAAGUCGAGCGGCAGCGGGAGGAAGCUUGCUUCCUCGCCGGCGAGCGGCGGACGGGUGAGUAAUGUCUGGGAAACUGCCCGAUGGAGGGGGAUAACUACUGGAAACGGUAGCUAAUACCGCAUAACGUCUACGGACCAAAGUGGGGGACCUUCGGGCCUCACACCAUCGGAUGUGCCCAGAUGGGAUUAGCUGGUAGGUGGGGUAAUGGCUCACCUAGGCGACGAUCCCUAGCUGGUCUGAGAGGAUGACCAGCCACACUGGAACUGAGACACGGUCCAGACUCCUACGGGAGGCAGCAGUGGGGAAUAUUGCACAAUGGGCGCAAGCCUGAUGCAGCCAUGCCGCGUGUGUGAAGAAGGCCUUCGGGUUGUAAAGCACUUUCAGCGAGGAGGAAGGCGUUGUAGUUAAUAGCUGCAGCGAUUGGCGUUACUCGCAGAAGAAGCACCGGCUAACUCCGUGCCAGCAGCCGCGGUAAUACGGAGGGUGCAAGCGUUAAUCGGAAUUACUGGGCGUAAAGCGCACGCAGGCGGUCUGUUAAGUCAGAUGUGAAAUCCCCGGGCUUAACCUGGGAACUGCAUUUGAAACUGGCAGGCUAGAGUCUCGUAGAGGGGGGUAGAAUUCCAGGUGUAGCGGUGAAAUGCGUAGAGAUCUGGAGGAAUACCGGUGGCGAAGGCGGCCCCCUGG
RNAcentral lists this ribosomal RNA (715 nucleotides) under uncultured bacterium. Its description in RNAcentral is "bacterial SSU rRNA". It matches the Rfam family "Bacterial small subunit ribosomal RNA", at positions 28 to 732 of the family's 1533-position model. The record is from RNAcentral.